RNAcentral lists this ribosomal RNA (877 nucleotides) under uncultured bacterium. RNAcentral's name for it is "bacterial SSU rRNA". It matches the Rfam family "Bacterial small subunit ribosomal RNA", at positions 15 to 905 of the family's 1533-position model. The record is from RNAcentral.
GAUUAUGGCUCAGGAUGAACGUUGGCGGCGUGCCUUAUGCAUGCAAGUCGAACGGUCUGACGGUUCGCAAGAGUUGUCAGAGAGUGGCGAACGGCUGAGUAAUACGUAAGCGACCUACCCUUAAGUGGGGAACAACCCUGAGAAAUCGGGGCUAAUACCGCAUGUGGUGACGGGGUCAAUGCCCCUUCACCAAAGCCGCAAGGCGCUUGAGGAUGGGCUUGCGUCCGAUUAGCUAGUUGGUGGGGUAAUGGCCUACCAAGGCGACGAUCGGUAGCUGGUCUGAGAGGAUGGCCAGCCAGACGGGGACUGCGACACGGCCCCGACUCCUACGGGAGGCAGCAGCAAGGAAUCUUGCGCAAUGGGCGAAAGCCUGACGCAGCGACGCCGCGUGGGGGAUGAAGGCCUUCGGGUUGUAAACCCCUUUUCUCGGGGAAGAAUAAUGACGGUACCCGAGGAAUAAGUCACGGCUAACUACGUGCCAGCAGCCGCGGUAAUACGUAGGUGGCUAACGUUAUCCGGAUUUACUGGGCGUAAAGAAGGCGCGGGCGGUACCCUAAGUCGGGUGUGAAAUCUCCUGACUCAAUCAGGAUAGGUCAUCCGAUACUGGGGUACUUGAGAGCAGCAGAGGAAGAUGGAAUUCCCGGUGUAGUGGUGAUAUGCGUAGAUAUCGGGAGGAACACCAGUGGCGAAGGCGGUCUUCUAGGCUGUUUCUGACGCUGAGGCCUGAAAGCGUGGGGAGCAAACCGGAUUAGAUACCCGGGUAGUCCACGCCCUAAACGGUGAGCACUAGGUAUGGGGGGUAUCGACCCUCUCUGUGCCGCAGCUAACGCUUUAAGUGCUCCGCCUGGGGACUACGGUCGCAAGACUAAAACUCAAA